Molecule: ribosomal RNA, 605 nt
Filed under: Salmonella enterica subsp. enterica serovar Infantis
Lineage: Bacteria; Pseudomonadati; Pseudomonadota; Gammaproteobacteria; Enterobacterales; Enterobacteriaceae
Description: partial 23S ribosomal RNA
Rfam family: Bacterial large subunit ribosomal RNA
Source: RNAcentral
AGACCCGAAACCCGGUGAUCUAGCCAUGGGCAGGUUGAAGGUUGGGUAACACUAACUGGAGGACCGAACCGACUAAUGUUGAAAAAUUAGCGGAUGACCUGUGGCUGGGGGUGAAAGGCCAAUCAAACCGGGAGAUAGCUGGUUCUCCCCGAAAGCUAUUUAGGUAGCGCCUCGUGAAUUCAUCUCCGGGGGUAGAGCACUGUUUCGGCUAGGGGGCCAUCCCGGCUUACCAACCCGAUGCAAACUGCGAAUACCGGAGAAUGUUAUCACGGGAGACACACGGCGGGUGCUAACGUCCGUCGUGAAGAGGGAAACAACCCAGACCGCCAGCUAAGGUCCCAAAGUCAUGGUUAAGUGGGAAACGAUGUGGGAAGGCCCAGACAGCCAGGAUGUUGGCUUAGAAGCAGCCAUCAUUUAAAGAAAGCGUAAUAGCUCACUGGUCGAGUCGGCCUGCGCGGAAGAUGUAACGGGGCUAAACCAUGCACCGAAGCUGCGGCAGCGAACGUAUCACUUAAAGCGAUUCAGCGGGUUACGAUUGACGGAGCGAAGCGACGUCAAAGCGUAUACAAAGUCGAGUCGGUUUAAGGAUACGUUCGUUGGGUAGG